This 946-nucleotide long non-coding RNA is filed under the name Mus spicilegus (steppe mouse). RNAcentral describes it as "lncRNA (ENSMSIG00000012157.1)". The record is from RNAcentral. Lineage: Eukaryota; Metazoa; Chordata; Mammalia; Rodentia; Muridae.
AAAGUUUACCUGCUUUCUGCUUGUUUCCAGAGCCUAUGGUUUUCCUAAUGAUUGCAGAGAUCAUAAUAAUGCAGUGAUUCAGGGACAUGACUAAUGUGUUUUACCCUGAUAGAAUGCCACUCUUGUCUACACCCUAAGAGCUGCAAGUAGUCACUAACCCCUGAUUUGUCAUCUUUAUGGAGCUAAAUAUAAAUGUAGCCACUAACUGAAAGACAUGAGUCAUAGUGGAGUCAGUUACAAACUUUGUCCAGCACCAAGGCUAUCGUGAUGAACAGGGACUCUUACUUCUGUUGGUGGCCAUAAGUCAUGAUGUCUAAAAUGCAGAAAUAGAAAGAACAUUUUUAUUCUAACACACAUACCUAUAAUAAUGUCAGAAGGAAAAGCAGGAAAUUAUGGUAGGGUAAAUUGGUUUUGAAAAAUAUAAGUAUUAUUUUCCUUCCAAGGUCUUAUCAUGAGAACAUCCCACUUUUCAAAUCUCUGAAGUCCCUUCACCCUCUUUAAUUGUGCCUCCUUGUUUUCCUCUCCUGCUUCAUCCGGAGUCACGGUUACAGAAGAGCCAACACUAUCUCCUUUCUGAACAAUAUUAUCGUUUCUGAUUUCCAAGAGUAAAGCAACCUCAAAUUCAAACUGCCUGUGAUGAAGGAGAGGCGUGGAGGCACCGUCCGUGAGAGGCAGACAACAGAAAGUCACAGACCACAGUAUGAGUUAAAAUAGGAAAUAUCAUCUGGAUGGCACGAAUUAACUAUAUCCCAGAGACAAGGAAGGAGCCAGAUUCGAAAUCCAAACUGUCUAGGAAGUAAUCUUCAGAAGCAGCUGUUAAAACAGAACACUUUCUGCUAUCUGCCAGGUGAGAUGCUUGACUUCUAAGUUUUCAAUGUUAAACAGGACAAGCUUCAUUCUCUAUCUUCUCCGAGAGGACUUCAUCUUCUCUUUGAAAGACUUCAGA